RNAcentral lists this unclassified non-coding RNA (1185 nucleotides) under Rhizobium sp. CCBAU 83517. RNAcentral's name for it is "partial contains 16S ribosomal RNA, 16S-23S ribosomal RNA intergenic spacer, and 23S ribosomal RNA". The stretch from base 329 to 402 matches the Rfam family "tRNA". Lineage: Bacteria; Pseudomonadati; Pseudomonadota; Alphaproteobacteria; Hyphomicrobiales; Rhizobiaceae. The record is from RNAcentral.
GUGGAAUUGGUAAGACGAUCGGCACAUGUCCUCGGACAUGGCCCGAUAUGAACCUUCCCGUGCUUUUUAGAACAUAGAUGGCACCAGUCAGGUGACCAUCGAAACGUAAUACGCCGCGAUGACUUCGGUCACGACGGUAUGGCGAGCUUUCGCCGUCCACGUUUCUCUUUCUUCAAAAGGAUAUCGAACCAUGGGUUUGCGCUCGCGCGCCGUUCGCACCUUCGGUGCUGCGCUCCGCGAGGGCGCCGGACGACCGGCGACGGCCUCUGGCCUGUAUGGGCGACCCUUUCCGAGGUUUUGCUUAGGAUUGGUGUCGACGCAGAGAGAUGGGCCCGUAGCUCAGUUGGUUAGAGCACACGCUUGAUAAGCGUGGGGUCGGAAGUUCAAGUCUUCCCGGGCCCACCAUUUGCUCCAGCAAAUGAGGUUUGCUGUAGCGAAUUGUGGUUUGUUUGGGUUUACCUGAUCCUGGCGGUUUGCUGUCAGGUGUUUGCGAUGGUUGGGGCUGUAGCUCAGCUGGGAGAGCACCUGCUUUGCAAGCAGGGGGUCAGCGGUUCGAUCCCGCUCAGCUCCACCAAUUCGCUUGGUGUCGAGACUGAGAGAUAUCCUUUGAAGAAAUAAAAGUUUUGCAUCGGCUUAGGCUGAUGCGUGUUCUGCAUACAUUGUGAAGAGAAGAUUGAUCUGGAGGCUUCCAGGUGUUUUGGGUUUUGCCCAAGGCGUCCGAGCCCAGUUCUAGUGAUCCCAUGGAUGGCCUAGCCGGCCGGAUAUGGGUGAAGGACUGGAGGUAGGAAGGAAGCUUGUCGCUCUGGGUCGUUGUUGUUUGCUGAUCUUUAGGGAUGAGCAUCUGACGGACGACUUGAUUACCGUUGCCUGACCGCGCGGUAUCGGAUCAUAUCUCGAGAAGCUGGUCUUAAGACAGGCUGCAAGUGAGCUGCUCGGCGUAGCUCCAAUAAAGCAGACCUGUCGAACACGUUAAUGGCAUCAUGAAACGAUCCGGUUGUAAAAGGUAACCGGAUUUUUGGACUGGCCGCACGGCAAUCGCAAGGUUGUCCGGAUGGUCGCAAGUCCAAAUAUGGAUGAGCAUUGGCAAUGAGAACGAUUAAGUGUCGUAAGGGCAUUUGGUGGAUGCCUUGGCAUGCACAGGCGAUGAAGGACGUGAUACGCUGCGAAAAGCCGUGGGGAGCUGCG